This is a long non-coding RNA of Sander lucioperca (pikeperch), 2099 nucleotides long. The record is from Ensembl. Lineage: Eukaryota; Metazoa; Chordata; Actinopteri; Perciformes; Percidae.
AUCUCAUAGACGCGAAUGGAUCUUUUUCUCAUGGAUGUAUUAUGGCUUGUUCUGUCUGAUAGCAGACGUUGAAUUAGUGCUUAACAACAAUUUAUAGAGACAAACAGCAAGUGUGUGUAUUGUCGAUAUAAUAAUAGCAACUUCAGAUAACUUCCUGACAACAGAUGUGGUAUAUAGCUACAUGUAAAAGUUAAAUACCAGCGAGUCGCUGUCGUUUUAAAAUGGAUGCUAAUUAUGAUACAAUUAUGCUUGAGCUAAAUAAUCAAGUCAUCUUUGAUUCUGAUGAAACUAAAGAAGAGCAGGAGAGUUUUUUGUUUCACGAGAAGGACUCAGAUGAUAUUCCCCCAUCUCUGCUUAGCUACUUUGAAACCUCAAAGAGCAGAGCAGCAGUUUGUGAGAAGCUCAUCCUUGAGGAAAUUGAAGACUUCACUGCAUCACAUCACGCCGACGACACGAUGAACUUGCCAUUUGAACUCGAUAAGGACAUGAGGAAACCGAAUGAGCAGGUAAAUGUCUCUCUUUACUAUUUUAGUCUCAAACUCUUACUGUAUGAAGCAUCCAAAAUACAAGUUGUGGCAAACUACUCGUAAGUUAUGUUUUGCCUGAUACAGGUGACUUGUGACACAGAAAAUGAAGAGAACAACACUUCCGCUGACACCCUGCUUCCUUCCUGCACCCACAGAACCACUUUUCACUCACAAUGUGUCAGUGUGUACCAACAAUGAAGCUGGAACAGAUGAAUACAUGGAGAGUGAGAAGCAUUUUGCAUUUGAACUUGAAGCAGAGCAAGAAAAACGACACUGUGAGAAGAAGGAGGAGGAAAGGAGACAAAUAGAAAGAGACUUCCAGAAGGAGCUGAAGAAGAUAAUGGAGGCCGAGAAGCUGCAUCAGAAGGAGUUUGAGUUGAUGGGGAAAAGAGCUCAGCAAAAACUUGAACAGGAGUUGCUGCUGCAACAGGAACUGAUCAGAAACUUACAGAGACGAGUGGAGGAAGAGAGGAGGAUGAGGGAAGAGGAGCAGAAGAGGAUAAAGGAUGAGGAGGACAAGAGGAAAAGGGAAGAGGAGAAAAUCAAGAUAGAGGCAGAGAGGAAAAGAAUGGAGGAAGAGACAAGGAGGAAGCAAGCGGAAGAGAGAAAAAUAGAAGAGAUAACACUUAAAAAAGAAGAGGAGAGAAAACAUAAGGAAGAGGAAAAGAGGAGAAUGGAAAGGGAGGAAAAGAGGAAGAGAGAAGAGGAAAGAAUCGAGAUUGAUUUGGAAAAGAACAAGCUAGAGGAUGGGAUGAGAAUGACAAAGGAGAAAGACGAGAGGAAAAGGGAGAAGGAAAGACAAGAGACAGAAGAGGCAAGGAAAAAGAUGGAGAAAGAGAAGAGAAAAAUGAAGGAAGAAAUUAGCCUGGAGGAGGAGGAGGAGGAGGAGAGAAAAACGAGCAAUAAAGAAGAUAUGAGAAUACAGGAGGAGGUGAGAAGAACUAAGGAGAUUGAGGAGAGAAAGAAGCAGGAUGAGAUGAGGACAAAUAAAGAAGAGCAGGAGGCUGAUGAUAGAAAAACGAUGGCUCAGGAAAAGCUUAAUGAAGAGAUGAGGAGGCGGGGUAAAAGUCAAGAUGAACAUGCAGAUGAAGAAAUAAAGUUUGUGGAGAGGAAAAAGAAGGAAGAAAAGGACAGGAAAAAAACAGAGGAGAAGAGGGAGGUGAAGGAAAUGGUAAGAGAAAAGGAAGGGGAAAACAGAAAACUUAAAGAAGAACUUAGACCCAUCGAAGAGGAUGUGGAGACGAAAACGGACUAUGAAAAGAAAACAAUAGAGGAAGAACAGAAGAGGAAGCAGAGGGACGAAGUGUAUUACAGAAUAAGGCUUAAAGAGGAUCAGGAGGGGUACAAAGGCUGUGAUGUGCACAACAGAAAGUUGGAAUGUGAGAGCAAAACAAAAGAAAAGAAACAGGAGGGGACGAGCAAAAGGGAGGAGGAGAUAAAAAAUGUGGAGAGAGAGAAGCAGCUGAAGGGAGAAUUUAUGGGAGAAACUGAGAAAGAGGUUCCCGAAAAAACAGAAAAAGAAAUGAGACUUAAAGUAAAGGAGGGGAGCCAAAAGAGAGUGGUGCACGACAC